This 363-nucleotide ribosomal RNA is filed under the name uncultured bacterium. RNAcentral's name for it is "partial 16S ribosomal RNA". It matches the Rfam family "Bacterial small subunit ribosomal RNA", at positions 355 to 710 of the family's 1533-position model. The record is from RNAcentral.
UGGGGAAUUUUGGACAAUGGGCGCAAGCCUGAUCCAGCCAUGCCGCGUGCGGGAAGAAGGCCUUCGGGUUGUAAACCGCUUUUGUCAGGGAAGAAAUCUUCUGAGUUAAUACCUCGGGAGGAUGACGGUACCUGAAGAAUAAGCACCGGCUAACUACGUGCCAGCAGCCGCGGUAAUACGUAGGGUGCAAGCGUUAAUCGGAAUUACUGGGCGUAAAGCGUGCGCAGGCGGUUUUGUAAGACAGAGGUGAAAUCCCCGGGCUCAACCUGGGAACUGCCUUUGUGACUGCAAGGCUUGAGUGCGCCAGAGGGGGAUGGAAUUCCGCGUGUAGCAGUGAAAUGCGUAGAUAUGCGGAGGAACACC